GUAAGGAAUAUUGGUCAAUGGACGAAAGUCUGAACCAGCCAUGCCGCGUGAAGGAUGAAGGCCCUCUGGGUUGUAAACUUCUUUUAUCUGGGACGAAAAAAGGGUAUUCUUACUCACUUGACGGUACCAGAGGAAUAAGCACCGGCUAACUCCGUGCCAGCAGCCGCGGUAAUACGGAGGGUGCAAGCGUUAUCCGGAUUCACUGGGUUUAAAGGGUGCGUCGGUGGGUAUUUAAGUCAGUGGUGAAAUCUCAGAGCUUAACUCGGAAACUGACAUUGGUAGUAUUUACCUUGAAUGCCCUGGAGGUAAGCGGAAUAUGUCAUGUAGCGGUGAAAUGCUUAGAUAUGACAUAGAACACCAAUUGCGAAGGCAGCUUACUACGGGGUGAUUGACACUGAGGCACGAAAGCGUGGGGAGCAAACAGGAUUCGAUGCCCGAGUAGUCC
This 445-nucleotide ribosomal RNA is filed under the name uncultured bacterium. Its description in RNAcentral is "partial 16S ribosomal RNA". It matches the Rfam family "Bacterial small subunit ribosomal RNA", at positions 354 to 796 of the family's 1533-position model. The record is from RNAcentral.